ACAGUCCGCCAGGGGCCGCGGCCCGGGCCCCGCUGGGGUUCCCGCACAGCCCGCGGCUCCGCCCCGAGAGGAUGCGCCCCCGCGCCCGCAUCCUUCCCGCACCCGCCCGCCUGGCCCCUGCCCUCUCCCGGGCCCCUGAGAGCGGCGCCCCUCCCGGCUCGCGGCCGCCCGGCCCGCUUGACAUACCAGAAAUAGCUGCACACAAUUGUACCUUUCCCGGCCAAGAAACCUCCCCCGCUGGGGAGCGCGGCCCGCCGCCCUCACCUGAGCCCCGGCCAGCUGAGCCCGCUACCCGCUCUCCCGCCGCGAUCCGGCCCAGCCGCCAGGUGAGCGCCGUCCCCUCCCACGCUCCCCGCCCCCUGCGGCGGCCGGGCCCUCCCGGCGGCAGAGGAGGGUCGUGGCCUUGGCACGUGCUGCCGCUUCCCCCCGGCGGAGUUCGGCCCCGCUCCGCCCGGCUUCCAGCUAAAGAAGUCACUUUCAAGAGAUCUGGAGAAGUAAGAUGGCCAAAUAAAAGCCUCUACCAAUCAUCCUCCCCACAGGAACACCAAAUUUAAGAACUAUCUACACAAAAAAGCACCUUCAUAAGAACCAAAAAUCAGAGAGAACAAGGAUAAAGAAGUAUCCAAAUACAAAGAAAAUGUUAUGCAAGUGACCUUUAGAGAUGUUUUAAAGAUGACAAAAUAUUGAUGAAGAUGGGCCAACAAGUGUUACUGUUACCUCUAAUAAAGUUUCAUCACUAGUUUCACCAUGGUUAAUUGGAAAUGGCUUCCGCCCAUCUGUGGAAAACAGACAAACAAUUGAAUGCUUAGCUGUUUUUACAGGAUAAUGUGCUUUCAACUUCCAUUUUCCUCUUCCCCCAGUGAGGCAAGAAAAGUUAAAAGCCAUUUUCAAUAAUAUAUCCUAAAACAAAUGUUUUAAUGUGCUACCAUGAAUAUUUUUUAUUAAAGGUUAUUAGUUAGAACUUUGCUUCCAUAUUUGAAAGCCUAAAUUAUCUUCAUGAACGGAAUUUAUUACAAUGCUGGCUUUCGUUUCCUGAAAAUAAUACGCAAAAUUAUUGUCAGUUUUUUAAAAAUUAUCACCCCAGCUUUUAUCCUUGGAAAUUAAAAAAAUUUCUUUUUUCACUUUAAAUAGGAAGAUCUCAAGUAAGACAGACAUGUUUAAAACAAUGAAAGGGAGCUACACUGUCAUGGCUUAUACAAUACUACUAUUAACUGUGUACUAUCAAUGCAGUAAUAUAGAGGAAUAAUCCAAAUAACCCAGGGUUAUUUUACUGACCACCAAAAUAAGCAAAUUCACAAUCAACUUAAAUAAACUAGUACUUUUUCAAUAUUAUUUUUUAAGAAGUCCAGAAUUAUUUAAACUCAUGCUAACCCAAAGUCAACUGACAAUUAUAUAUCCAAAUCCAUAAUCUCAGAUGUCUUGUAAGUGGCUCUUCAUUAAGUUCAAUCCAUAAAACACAGCCCCUUCUACGAUUCCAUGGUUUCUAACCAUAAUAAAAAUUUCUGAAUAUGCAUCUAGUAAUAGACUUGGUUGUUAGAUUUUUUUUAAAAAAAUGAAUGAAAAUCAACACAUAAAUUCAUCUCCAUAAAAAGUAAUAUUAAUUUCUAUAAAUUAUAUCAUCAGAAUUUGUGAUUCCUAUUUUUGGACUAACAUUGAGAUAAAUAUUCAAAAUCCUAAAGAAACUUAUCCCUAAAUUACAAUGCCUGGGACAUAAUUCCUAAAGUUUCUAAGAACCUUUAGGAAAUAUUUUCCUGUAACUAUAUUACACAUGAACACUUAAUUAUCCAUAUUUCUAUGAACUUAUACUAUCUUUCUAAAUUAUAAUGUAUAUUUCUCAAUAAUAUAUCAUAAAAUGUCUUCUUAAAAUAUCCUUUUGUGGUAAAUGCUUAUUCUUCAAUAGACUAUUCUAUGUUUAUAUGACUAUCACAUUCAUUAUGUGCCACCCCAUUUUGUAUUAUUUUUUAAUGUUUACAUAAAGGCAAAAGUAUAAGUAAACAAUGUAGGCUGUUCCCUCCCUAACCAAAUUAUAAAUUAAUAUAUAUUUUUUCCUUUUGUAUUUUUCUUUCUUCUAUUUAAUUUAGAGACAGGGCCUCACUUAUAUUCCCCAGGCUGAACUUAACCUCCUGCGUUCAAGCAAUCCUCCUGCCUCAGCUUCCCAAGUAGCUGGGACUGCAGGCACAUGCAACAGCACCUGGCUUAAUAUAUGUAUUUUCCUGGUUUCCAUCAUUUCUGUGUGUGUGUCAUUCAUGAGACUAAAGAGCUAAUAAACUCAGUUAUGGCUGGGUGUGGUGGCUCACACCUGUAAUUUAAGAAGAUUGCUUGAGGCCAGGAGUUCAACACCAGCCUGGGCAAUACAGUGAGACCCCACCUUUACAAAGAAUUAAUAAAUUAGCCAGGUAUAGUGGCACAAGUCUGUAGUCCCAGCUGUUUGGGAGGCUGAGGCAGGAGGAUCACUUGAGCCCAGGAGUUCAAGGACGCAGCAAGCUAUGAUCAUGCCACUGCACUCCAGCCUGGGUGACAAAGUGAGAUUCUGUCUCUAAAAAAAUAAAAUAAUAACAUAAUAAAAUAAAAACAAAAAAUGGCAGUGAGCAAUUUUCCUUUGAAUGCAGCUGUUUAAAGUAACAUAUAAUUAAUUUCAAUUAUUAUAGACUAAGAUUGUUAAACAACUGAUCCUGAAAUGUCAAAACCGUACAGUCUAUUUUUAUAAUAGCAGUAUAGAACAAAGAUUAAUUAUGAUUUUUACUGUUAUUCUAAUCCAUGGGCCAAAUCCAGCCCUCAGUGUAUUUUUAAUGCCUCCUUUAAGCUAAGACUGGUUUUUAUGUUUUUAAAAGACAGUAUGUAGCCCACAAAACCUAAAAUAUUUACUACUUGGUCCUUCACAGAAAAAUUUUGCCAAAACAAUAAAAUGUAAAAUUUGCUGUUGUUCCAAACACUACUACCACAAAACUGUCACUUGCCAACAACUUUGCGUGUAAUUUCAGUAAAUGCAUACGCUGCAGAUGAAUCCAUGAGGCUCAGAGACUGUCACACUUACAGGCCCCUUCUAAAAGAGGCAGGAAAAAGCUGCACCUUGUACAUGGGUCAUGUAACCUAAAAACCCCAGUCCAAACGGGCUGUGCCACUUCCAGGCUGGACGGGGAAGAAAAUAGUGGCCUGACUUUUUGGUAGUAACUAACCAAUUCAUUCAGAACUUGUUUUUUGCAUAGUGUGAUCACAAGCCCCCAGAGAAAGGUGACAACAGAGUUGUACAAGAGACAAGCGACAUGACAAACAUCACGAGAUGCUUUUUGGUGCAGAUAACUGAGUAUCAGCUACUGUCAAAUACCCAACAAUGGCCAACGACGUGAAUGAUGGAGCUUAAAAAACAGAGACUAUACAGAAAUAAAAACUGUUUUACUGGUUUUGUUUUUGUUUUGUUUUUGUUUUUGUUUUUUUUGAGACAGAGUCUCGCUCUGUCGCCCAGGCUAGAGUACAGUGGCACAAUCUCAGCUCACUGCAAGCUCUGCCUCCCGGGUUCACGCCAUUCUCCUGCCUCAGCCUCCCGAGCAGCUGGGACUACAGGCACCCACCACCACACCCAGCUAAUUUUUUGUAUUUUUAGUAGAGAUGGGGUUUCACCAUGUUAGCCAGGAUGGUCUCGAUCUCCUGACCUUGUGAUCCACCCACCUCGGCCUCCCAAAGUGCUGGGAUUACAGGCGUGAGCUACCACACCCAGCCACAGAAAUAAAAACUUUUUAAAAAUGUACAGGCUUAAAAAAGAGAGACUAUACAGAAAUUAAAACUUCUAAAAAAUGUACAGGCAUGCCUGAGAGAUACUGUGGGUUAGCUUCCAGAAUACCACAAUGAAGCAAGUAUCACAAUAAAAUGAGUCACAAAUUUUUUUGUUUCCUAGUGCAUAUAAAAGUUAUGUUUAUAUUACUCUGUAGUCUAUUAGGUAUACAUUAGCAUUAUGUCUAAGAAAACAAUAUACAUACCUUAAUUAAAAAACACUUUAUUCCUAAAAAUGCUAAUGAUCAUCUCAGCCUUCAGCAAGUUGCCAUCUUUUUGCUGAUGGAGGGGCUUGCUUUGAUGUUGAUAUCUCCUGACUGAUCAGGACGGCGGUUGCUGAAGAUUGGGGUGGCUGUGGAAAUUUCCUAAAAUAAGACAAUAAUGAAGUUUGCCACAUUUGACUCUUUCUUUUAUGAAAGAUUUCUCUGUAGCAUGUGAUGCUGUUUGACAGCACUUUACCCACAGGAGAACUUCUUCCAAAAAUGUUGUCAAUCCUCUCAAAUUCUGCUGCUGCUUUAUCAACUACAUUUAUGUAAUCUUCUAAAUCCUUUAUGGUUUGUGGUCAUUUUAACACUGUUCAUGACCUCUUUAUUAGGAGUAGAUUCCAUCUCAAGAAAUCAGUUUAUUUGCUCAUCUUUAAGAAGCAACUCCUUACUUGUUCAAGUUUUAUCAUGAGAUUGCAGCAGUUCAGUCACAUCUUCAGGCUCCCCUUCUAAUUCUAGUUUUCUUGCUAUUUUCAUGAUAUCUGCAGUUACUUCCUCCAAUGAAGUCUUAAACCCCUCAAAGUCAUCCAUGAGGAUUGGAACCAACUUAUUCCAAACUCAUGUUAAUGUUGAUACUUUGAGCUCUUCCCAUAAAUCAUGAAUGUUCUUAAGGGCAUCUAAAAUGGUGAAUCCUUUCCAGGAAGUUUCCAAUUUACUAUUCUCAGAUCCAUCAAAGCAAUCACUGUGGCAGCUAUAGUCUCACAAACUGUAUUUCUUAAAUAACAAGAAAUGAAAGUCUAAAUGAUUCCUUGAUCCAUGGGCUGCAGAAUGGAUGCUGUGUUAGCAGAAAUGAAAAUAUUAAUCUCUUUGUAAAUAUAUCUAUAUCGGACUUCUUGGAUUACAAGGUGCAUUGUCAAUUAGCAGUAAUAUUUUCAAAGGAAUCUUUUUCUGAGCAGUACGUCUCAACAGAGGGCUUAAGAGAUUCAGUAAUCCAGGCUAUAAAUAGAUAUACUAUCAUCCCGGCUCUGUUGUUCCAUUUAUAGAACAUAGGCAGAGAAGAUUUAGCAUCAUUCUUAAGGACCCUAAAAUUUUCUGAAUAUCAAAUGAUCAUUGGCUUCAACUGAAAGUCACCGUCUGCAUUAACAAGACAAUCAGCCUGUCCUUUGAAGCUUUGAAGGCAGGUGUUGACAUCUCCUCUCUAGCUACAGAAGUCCUAGAUGGCAUCUUCUUCCCAAGAGAAGGCUAGUCAUCUACAUGGAAAAUCUGUUGUUUACGUAGCCACCUUCACGGAAGAUCUGAGCUUGAUCUUCUGGAUAACUUGCAGCUUCUCCAUCAGCAUAUGCUGCUUCACCAUGCACUUUUAUGUUAUGGAGAUGACUUCUUUCCUUAAACCUCAUGAACCAACUGCUAGCUUCAGACCUUUCUUCUGUAGCUUCCUCACCUCUCUCAGCCUUAACAGAACUGAAAAGAGGUAUGGCCUUGCUCCAGAUUAGGCUUAAGAAAAUGUUGUAGCUAGUUUGAUCUUCUAUCCAGACCACUCAAACUUUCUCCAUAUCAGCAAUAAUACUGUUUUGCUUUCUCGUCAUUCAUGUGUUCACUGGAGCAGCACUUUUAAUUUCCUUCAAGAACUUUUCCUUUGCAUUCACAACUUGGCUUAUUGUUUUGCACAAGAGGCCUAGCUAUCAGACCAUCCUGGCUUUCAAUAUGCCUUCCUCACUAAGCUUAAUCAUUUCUAGUUUUUGACUUAAAGUGAGAGACGUGUGACUUGAAUGCUUACAGGCCUUUGUAGGGUUAUUAUCUGGCCUCAUUUCAAUAUUAUUGUGUCUCAGGGAAUAGAGAAGUUCAAAGAGAGGAAAAGAGAUGGGGAAAUGGCUGGUUAAUGGAGCAGUCAGAACACAUACAUGAAAUCAAUUAAGUUUGCCAGCAUAUAUGGGUAUAGUUUGUGGCAUCCCAAAACAAUUACGGUAGUAAUAUCAAAGAUCACUGAUCACAGAUACCAUAACAGAUAUAAUAAUAAAACGUUUGAAAUGUUGGGAGAAUUACCAAAGCGUGACACAGAAACACAAAGUGAGCACAUGCUGUUGGAAAAAAUGGUGCCAAUAAGCUUGCUCAAAGCAAGAUUGCCAUAAACCUUCAAUUUGUAAAAAAUGAAAUAUAUGUAAAGUACAGUCAAAUGAGGUAUUCCUGUAUUAUUACUAUCCUUAAAAUGAGGAAAUUCUACAUACAUAAAAGAACAGAAUGCCAUAUUUUCAAAUGCUAUGCAAACUCAGAGAACAGAAGAACUCUUAAAAAUUAAAACUAUGGCCUGUGUGCAGUGCCUCAUGCCUGUAAUCCCAGCACUUUGGAAGGCUAAAGCAGGAGGAUCAAUUGAGCCCAGGAGUUCAAGACCAGCCUGGGCAACAUAGCUAGACCCCAAUUUACAAAAAAAAAAAAAAAAAAUAGCCAGGCAUGGUGGCACAGGCCUACAGUCCCAGCUACUCAGGAGGCUGUGACAAGGGGAUUGCUGGAGCCCAGGACAUCAAGGCUGCAGUUUGAAGGGGUUCCUUUCAAAGGCCAAGUCUGCAGUAAUUUGAGCAUAAAAAUACAUGAUAUCAUGGAUUAUAAUCAUUCAAGUAAAGUAGGAAUCCAUGAGUCCAUUCUGAUUAUAAAUGAAUAAAUGAGAGGAAAAGGAAAGCUUCUAAUGUUGGGGGAAUUUUUUUUUAAUUGCCAUUUGGCAAUAGUCAUAAUGAUAAUCCAGUCAAGAAUAAUCAAUGGAUGCAAAAUCUGGAGGAUAAAAGCUUGAUGAGCAACUGCAUGACAUACUUCUUAACUUUAUUGUGAAGAAACUACCUAAAAGUCACUAAACAUCACCAGUAAUGGGGCAAAUUGACAUCAUGUGCCUCUCGAUAUGAUGCACUGAGAAGAACGCAGCAUUAUUUCUGCAGUUAUUCCUGCCAAAAAUGCAUAAAUCAUGAGGAUAAAUCAGAUGGCCUAAAUUGGAGGAUAAUCUCAAAGUAACUGGCCCUAUACUCUUAAAAUAAAUGUUACAGUCAUGAAAGACAAGAAAGCAUUCUGAGGUACUGUUCCAGAUUAAAGAAGACAAAGAAACAUGACAAAUUCAACACAUAAUCCUGGAUUGGCUCCUGAAUAGAGGACAUUAUUGUGAUAAUCAGGAAAACUGUAAUGGGGUCUGUGGAUCAGAUAAUACUGGAUCAAUGUUAUAAUAAUUUCCUGAUUUUGAUAUUCAUACUAUAGUUAUGUAGGAGAGUAUCCACUUGUUUUGAGAAAAUACACACCGAAGUUUUAAAGAUAAUGGGGCAUCAUGUCUUCAACUUAUUUUCAAAUGGCUCAGAAAUAUGAAUUGAAUCUGGGUAAUCUGUGGGAGGAUGUAUGGGAGCUCUGUAUACUAUUUCUGUAACUUCUACAAACAUCUUAAGUUACUUCAAAAUAAAAUUUCUAAAACUGCUUCAAAGUAUUCCUGUUACUUCAGGUAGACAAUAAUUUAUUAGUUAAUGGUUUUUUAAUCUGAUUGUUCAAUCAGUUCCAAAUCCACCUCUAAAUCCCAAUGCUCUACUCUAUAUCCACAAGGAGUCAUUUUAUCUAUUUUAAAAUAUGUACUUCUUCCCCUUUACAUAUGCCAGAAACUAUAUGAGGCCCCAAGGAAAAGGGAGGGUGAUAACAAAAGAGAAAUAACUCAGUCCUUUUCAUUGGUUAACCUUACAAUUUAUUAGAGUAGGGAAUUAAUACAUUAAAGACUACCACCAUUCUCUGUUAAAUAUAGAUAUCCUAUAGAAAUUAACUUGCACAAUGUCUACAAUCAUACAGCCUUAUUUUUAAAAAUAAAGUUACAGUCAUCUCUCCAUAUCUGUGGGGGACUGGUUCCAGGACACCGGCCCCAUCUCAUACCAAAAUUUUGAGAUGUUCAAGCCCCUUGACAUACUCUACCUAAAUGGUAUAGUAUUUGCAUAUAACCUACACAAUUCCAAAUACUUUAAAUCAUCUCUAGAUUACUUAUCAUACAUAAUACAAUAUAAAUGCUAUGUAAAUAGUUGUUAUGUUGUUUUCAAAAUUUGUUUUUUAUUGUUGUAUUGGUAUUUAUUUUCUAAUACUUUCAAUCCACAGUUGGUUGAAUCUACCAAUGCAAGAACCCACAGAGAGCAAAUUGAACUUUGAAAUGACUUCUUUCUUAAAAGUUAUAUAGUGUCUUCUUUUCUUUUUUUUUUAAGAGAUGACGUCUUGCCAUGUCACCCAGGCAGAAGUGUAGUGGCUGUUCACAGGUGCAAUCAUAGCACACUGUAGCCUCAAACUCCUGGGCUCAGGCAAUCGUGCUUCAGCUUCCCACUACAGAAAGUGGGACUACAGGAACACACCACUGUGCCCAGUGCUAAUCUCUUAAUCAUUAUUUUCUACUCACUAACUCAAUACUCUUCUUGCUCAAUAUUCCUUUUGAAUUUAUUAGAUCUGCAUCAGAGUUACUGCCAGUUUCCUUUGCAAUGAAUCAGCAACUGUCCAUCUUUGUAAUGUACCUAUUAUUGCUCUGACAUCUCAAAGAUUAUGGCUAUUCUUUACCACUCUGAAAUUAUUUAAACUCAUUUAAAAAAUCUAAUUUCCAGUAGGCUUCUAAUUUUCCAUCAGAUCAUUCUUCUUGAUAAAGAAUAUCUAAACCAAACAAGACCUCAGUAGUUCUGCCUUUGUUUUAUGAAGUUCUUACUUCAAACCAAUUUUAAAAUCCUUUUGUGUUGAUCUUGGCAUGCUCCAAAAGAGCAUCAUUCUUCAUAUGUAGCUUACCCUUGAUAUAUGUCCUUCCUUCUAACUGCCCUUUUAGCCUCUGAGCCAAGACAGCUCUCUAACUAGUAAAACCGAGUUUUUUUUUAAGAUAACUCUUUCCUUCCCAUUGAGAUCAUUAGAGAGGUUUUCUUUUGGUUUAAAUAUAUUUUAGAUGUUAUUGUUUGCUCUGUAAGUCUCUCAUUCUGAAAGUCACAAUCAGAUUUAUAGUCUCUGGUUAUGAAUCCUACAUAUGUUUGCUCUGGCCAAAUCUACUUUCUUGAAGUUAACAGAAUGUGUCUGUUAAGUCCCAGCACUCUUUAUUUCCUCUUCCACUAGUUAUUAUUUACUAUUCACAAUUCAGAGUAGAAAAUCUGCUUCCAGCAACCACCCAGACAUCUGAAGUCCCCAAUCACUGUUAUACUUUAUCUCUGCAGAUUUUGUAGACUCAAUUAGCAAGGCACAUCUUCAAAACUGUCCUGGAGGUCCAUUAUAUACUACCAAAAUAAUGACUUCUUCUCAUUUAAGUUUUAUUACUCCUCAAAUCACUCUAGUAUUGUAGACAACGCUCAGGGUUGCACAUUUUUAUAAAUACUAUGUUCUUUCUUUUCCUUGUCCCCUUUGAUAGGGCCAUUUCUUUUUAAUAAAGUAUGCGAUCUGUUGCUAAUAUUCCAAACACAAAAUCCACCUAAAUUUUAUGGAUCACAUUUACAGUCACAAUCUGUGUUCUUUCAAAAUCUUCUAUCUUUAUACAACUUAAAAUUAAUGUGACAAGGUAAUAUAUAGACAGCAAAUGAGAGGUAA
This 9518-nucleotide long non-coding RNA is filed under the name Homo sapiens (human). Its description in RNAcentral is "non-protein coding LMO7-AS1:7". The record is from RNAcentral. Lineage: Eukaryota; Metazoa; Chordata; Mammalia; Primates; Hominidae.